Molecule: long non-coding RNA, 810 nt
Organism: Lathyrus oleraceus (garden pea)
Lineage: Eukaryota; Viridiplantae; Streptophyta; Magnoliopsida; Fabales; Fabaceae
Exons: 3
Source: RefSeq, a predicted model, not a curated record
UCUAAGGGGGGGUUUAGAAAGCGCUUUUGGAAAGCGCUGUCUAAGGCAUACCUUAGAAAGCGCUUUCCACAAAAGCGCUGUCUAAGGUCUAAUUAAAAUAAAAUUUCAGACUCCAUUUCAAUUUUCGUUCUCUGUUCUUUUGUUUUCCCUCCUGCGAACGUUGAAACCCUAUCAGCGAAAACCAUAACAGCGAACACGAAUACACUUCCAUUUUUCGGUUUCAAUCAUUGAACGUGUUUGAAGAAUCGUACGUGUCUCGACAUUUGGGUGUUUUUCAGAUUGAAAUCACAAUACCCGAUGGAUACCCAUUUGAACCCCCGAAGAUGAAGUUUACAACCAAAGUCUGUGUUAAGUGUGCAAUCCAGUGAAUUGGCGGCCUGCUAAAAUCUGCUGCUGCACCCUAUGGGUUCUCCUUAAUGAUGCUGAUCUAUUGGGAUCUUUGUGUUUCAUUGAUAUCUACAGUGGUUUAUUGUUUAUUUAUUUUUUUAGUUGAAAUGUUUUUACUCAACCAUAAAAAUGCUACUUUGUUUACUAUUUUCAAGAUUUUGGUAUGUCAACAUUUCCUUUAGACAUUCUUGAAAACAUGAAACUAGAUGGGAAGAUACAAGCAAACCAAACACACUGUUCUAAUUUGUUAGUGUUUAAAACUAUUGCAUUUGUUACUUGGCAUGUUAUUUUUCUGGAAAUCUAUAGUGUAAUCCCAUAAUAAAAUUUUGGGUUUGGUUGAAGAUAAGCUCUUCUAAGACCAUCCUUUAUUUAUGUGUGAUAUAGAAAUUGUUUUGACAUUUUAUGCCAGGGUUUCAAUCUGUC